AAACCGUUCAGGGGUAAACCUGCGAAACUCGAAUGAACGAACGGGGAGAUUCAUCGUCACUCCGCGGCGUACUGGCGGGCGCCUCGAUGUCACCGAUCUCGGUCGGGCGGCACGGGUCCCGCUAGUCGACGUCCGCGGACGGCGUGCACUUCUCCCUCAGUAAUACAUCGCGACCCGUUCGAUGUCGGUCUAAGCGCCGUUCGGGAGCCCCAUUGUGCACCUUUCGGGGUCACUUUGGGACCGCGACGUGCGCCGACCGGCCGUCGUACGGUAUAAAUUGACGAACCGCGCACGCGUUUCGCGCGCGUCAGGCCCGACGCAAGGCAACGUCGUAUCCUAUGUCCUGCCCGAGUGCGGACGUCGGUGCGGCGCGCCUGUCGUCGCUGCCGUGUUGUCUCUGACAUGUGCGCGUCUCUGUCUGCGAUGAUUCAGUUUCGGGCACUCGCAGGA
RNAcentral lists this ribosomal RNA (450 nucleotides) under Watsonalla uncinula. Its description in RNAcentral is "eukaryotic LSU rRNA". Lineage: Eukaryota; Metazoa; Arthropoda; Insecta; Lepidoptera; Drepanidae. The record is from RNAcentral.